ACAAAUUUCAAGGCUGUGGAACCAGGAGAAGGUCUGAGGAACGGAGCUCCCGGAAGUAAAGGCAUUGCCUCACAUUUGAGUACACCUGGCAACAGUACUUAAGGAAGGAAAGGUUUGCACUGGCCCGCAGUCUGAAGGAGGACAGAGGACACAAGGCAAUGAGAGCAGCUCUAGGUGUAGCCGUGGGAGCCCGAUAUAGCUGGACGCGCUGCAUCUGAAGGUAGACAAAUGCUAAUACUCUACUUGAUUUCUUCUGUAUUCACUCCAGGGAUCCAGAGCAUGGGAUGAUGUCACCUACAUUCAGAAUAAGUGUUUCCUUCUCAGAUAAAUCCAGAGGUACAUCAGCGAGGGGAUUCCAAAUCCUGUCAAAGACAAACCAGCAGAGUAUUCAAGUGUCCCUCAAGAGAGGGAAGUGGGUCAAAGAUACAAUUUAUGUAUUGCAUGUAUUCAUUUGACAUUUAUAAGAUGUACGCAACUCUAUGUAUAUUUGUAUAUCUACAUGCACGUGUGCAGGUGCCCACAGAGAUGAGGAAGAACAUUGGGUUCCUAGGACCUGCCUGAUGUGAGAGGAGGAACUAGAUGUAGGUCCCCUCAAAGAGCAGCAUGUACUCUUAACUACCACUGAGCCACCUCUCAGCCCUAUUUUAUUGUUUUGAGUCAGGGUCUUGCUAUACAGCCUGCAAUGGCCUUGAGCUUGAGUGAUCCCCUUCCUCAGCAUCCUCAAUGCUAGGACCACACGUGUGCAUGUGAGUCUCAAAAAUAAAUGUUAAUCAUGAACCAGAAAUUAAUAACAAAGGUUAUUAGUGAAGAGAAUGGGUGCCCUGUCUGCCUUAUUAAGGAAACAAGUUACAGGGACAUUGCAGAGAGUAGCCCUUACCCAAAAUGCUUGGGGGCACUAGCAUUUUGAAUGUAAAGUUGUUUUGGAUUUGCAUAUACAUAAUGAGAAAUCUUGGAGAUGCAGCCCAAGUCUAAACACUCAGUUCAUUUGUAACUCCUACACAUGUACACACAUUGACUGAAAGUAAUUUUCUAGAAUAACAUUUGUGCACCUGCACUUUGACUGUAGCCACAUUAAAUCAAAUAAAAGACUUUCUAUUUAUAGUAUCAGGUCAGUGGUCAAAGACUUUCAGACUUUGCAGUGUUUGGAUUUCAUAUUUCCAACCAAGAAUGCCUAAUUUGUACGUCAGUGUUUUACCUGAAUGUAUGUUUGUAUACCACCUACAUGGAAUACCCAUAGAGGCCAGAAGAAGCCAUCCAAACCUCUGGGACUGGAGUUACAGAUGGUUGUAAGUGCUGAGUGUUGAGUGCUGAGACUUGUUGAACCCUAGUACUCUGCAAAUGCAGCUAGUGCUUGUAACUGCUGAGCUAUCUCUCUAGCUCCUUAACCUGUAUAUUAGAAGGGAUGUAGUACUCCUGUCUGGCCUCUGUUACUAAAUUGCCUUUCCCUGGACUAUAUAAGCCAUAUGUCUAGUCUCCUCGAUUUUAUACACUGAUAUUUACCCAGCACCCAGAAGAAUGUAUAGCAUGUGAUUGACACAUAGUAAAUGUUUACCAAACAAACAGCUGGAUCCUUGUCACCUGGGACAAGUGAGAUAGCCCUCUGGAACUGUUUCACUGAUCUGUCACCCUCCUGCUUCACGGCACUGCUGCUUCAUGCUACAGAAGGCUGAUGCAAUGUGUGGAGAUGUUGGGAAGAACAAGAGGUACAAGGCAAGGAAGACAGACAGGAAAUUUGAUAGCAGGUGUAGCUAGGUCAGAAGGUCAUAACAGGCUAAAUCUGCAGGAUGCAGUAAGAGCAACAGCAGACACCACUGCCCAGUGGACAACGUUGGUUUAAGCAGAGCAGGAAGACUGUUCAAACAGCACUGGUUUCUUCUGACUUCAGCCAAGGUGCUGAGAGUGAACCGUUAGCUGUAAAUGGAACCACCAAAGAAGGAAAGUGGGGGGAGGAUGAAGAAUAAGGGAGCACAGGCCAAAAAGAGGAGGAGGAGGAGGAGGGGGAGAGGAGGAGGAGGGAGAGGAGGAGGAGGGAGAGGAGGAGGAGAAGGAGGGAGAGGAGGAGGAGAAAGAAAAAUAAGAGGAGGAUUGAGAGCUUGAGGUCAGUCUGGGCUACCUAAUGAAACUCGAUAUCUCUCUUUUUUUUUAAUAAAUUAAGUUAAUAAAAGAAAAGAAAGGAGAGAUGGUACUGGAGUUCGCAUCUGGGACAUUUCUGUGUUAGAACCUCAUGGGAGGUCUUUGAUAGCCAGGGUCAUUCCUUAACCGGGUUGGAGAGACUGUGGACCCCUCUCUUUCCUCUGUUUCACUCCCUAACCAUGAAGUGACCAGUUUUACUCAACUCUGCUGUAUCAGGACCUAUAAGCUAUGAGCUUAAGGAAGCCUUUGGUGCUUUGCUAUAACUAUAGAAAGGUGACUAACAGAGACAGAGACCAAAGAACUGCAACUCUCGUAUGCUCUCAAAAGGAAAUUCCCUGGAUUUCCUUGCUAGCCCUAACUCUAUGUGGUUUUAUUGCUCUCAUUAAAGGCAUCUUAGCCUGAGUUCUGUUUAAAUGAGUUUGGGGAAUGAUGAACAAGUAAUUUAUCUUCGUGAAUAUGGUUCCAGGAGUGGGAAGACAGGGCAAGU
RNAcentral lists this long non-coding RNA (2620 nucleotides) under Mus musculus (house mouse). Its description in RNAcentral is "predicted gene, 33111". The record is from RNAcentral. Lineage: Eukaryota; Metazoa; Chordata; Mammalia; Rodentia; Muridae.